Python bivittatus (Burmese python) is the source of this 138-nucleotide small nuclear RNA. RefSeq annotates it as U4 spliceosomal RNA. The record is from RefSeq and is a predicted model, not a curated record. NCBI's taxonomy places the organism in Eukaryota, Metazoa, Chordata, Lepidosauria, Squamata, Pythonidae.
AGCUUUGUGCAAUGGCAGUAUCGUAGCCAAUGAGGUUUAUCCAAGGCAUGAUUAUUGCUAAAUGAUGAUUUUUAUAUUGUUAAUUACUGUGAUUAUUUUAGGGCUCUGUUUGGACUUUUUGCUGACACCUGGAUUGGA